AGCUCUCCCAUCCCUUAGUCAUAACCAAAUCACGAGUACUAAAACACACAGAACUGUAAAGAACAUGUAUAGAAUAAUGAGUGCUACCAUGGGGAUGCUACCUAUAUAAUUUGUGAAAAAGCACCUAAGUGAUAAAAAAUUUUAGAGUAUGCAAAUUGCUCAUCACUUUCAAGUUCCAAAACCCCACACCAACCCCCUACCCCAAAGAGGGAGAAAUAAGGAGAGAAAACCACCCAAAUGGAAGACGAACAUAGUAAGCAAUUAAUCUAAACUAUAAAUUCCCAUACCUACGCUCAUGCUCAAGAAAG
Molecule: unclassified non-coding RNA, 308 nt
Filed under: Hevea brasiliensis (rubber tree)
Lineage: Eukaryota; Viridiplantae; Streptophyta; Magnoliopsida; Malpighiales; Euphorbiaceae
Source: RNAcentral